This 497-nucleotide ribosomal RNA is filed under the name uncultured bacterium. Its description in RNAcentral is "partial 16S ribosomal RNA". It matches the Rfam family "Bacterial small subunit ribosomal RNA", at positions 28 to 507 of the family's 1533-position model. The record is from RNAcentral.
GAUGAACGCUGGCGGCGUGCCUAAUACAUGCAAGUCGAGCGAACAGACGAGGAGCUUGCUCCUCUGACGUUAGCGGCGGACGGGUGAGUAACACGUGGAUAACCUACCUAUAAGACUGGGAUAACUUCGGGAAACCGGAGCUAAUACCGGAUAAUAUAUUGAACCGCAUGGUUCAAUAGUGAAAGACGGUUUUGCUGUCACUUAUAGAUGGAUCCGCGCCGCAUUAGCUAGUUGGUAAGGUAACGGCUUACCAAGGCGACGAUGCGUAGCCGACCUGAGAGAGUGGUCGGCCACACUGGAACUGAGACACGGUCCAGACUCCUACGGGAGGCAGCAGUAGGGAAUCUUCCGCAAUGGGCGAGAGCCUGACGGGGCAACGCCGCGUGAGUGAUGAAGGUCUUCGGAUCGUUAAACUCUGUUAUUAGGGAAGAACAAAUGUGUAAGUAACUGUGCACGUCUUGACGGUACCUAAUCAGAAAGCCACGGCUAACUACGUG